This 300-nucleotide ribosomal RNA is filed under the name uncultured soil bacterium. RNAcentral's name for it is "bacterial SSU rRNA". It matches the Rfam family "Bacterial small subunit ribosomal RNA", at positions 26 to 353 of the family's 1533-position model. The record is from RNAcentral.
AGAACGAACGCUGGCGGCAUGCCUAAUACAUGCAAGUCGAACGAACUCUUCGGAGUUAGUGGCGCACGGGUGCGUAACGCGUGGGAAUCCGCCCUUGGGUUCGGAAUAACAGUUGGAAACGACUGCUAAUACCGGAUGAUGACGAAAGUCCAAAGAUUUAUCGCCCAGGGAUGAGCCCGCGUAGGAUUAGCUAGUUGGUGAGGUAAAGGCUCACCAAGGCGACGAUCCUUAGCUGGUCUGAGAGGAUGAUCAGCCACACUGGGACUGAGACACGGCCCAGACUCCGUACGGGAGGCAGCA